RNAcentral lists this ribosomal RNA (229 nucleotides) under uncultured bacterium. Its description in RNAcentral is "partial 16S ribosomal RNA". It matches the Rfam family "Bacterial small subunit ribosomal RNA", at positions 568 to 796 of the family's 1533-position model. The record is from RNAcentral.
UGCGUAGGCGGAUUAAUAAGUCAGUGGUGAAAACCUGCAGCUUAACUGCAGACCUGCCAUUGAUACUGUUAGUCUUGAGUACGGUCAAGGUAGGCGGAAUGUGUAAUGUAGCGGUGAAAUGCUUAGAUAUUACACAGAACACCGAUUGCGAAGGCAGCUUACUGGGCCAUUACUUACGCUGAGGCACGAAAGCGUGGGGAGCGAACAGGAUUAGAUACCCUGGUAGUCC